Molecule: long non-coding RNA, 1499 nt
Filed under: Taeniopygia guttata (zebra finch)
Lineage: Eukaryota; Metazoa; Chordata; Aves; Passeriformes; Estrildidae
Description: lncRNA (ENSTGUG00000024538.1)
Source: RNAcentral
GAAGUCUCUGGCUCGUUAGAUGCUUUUAUUUUUUUUUUCUUUUUCUGGCCGUCUCCAGUUACUUUUAGCCCGACCGUUCGUUGUCCCACCCUUCUUCCGUGCUGUACUGGCGCCUGGCGGGGUUUGGGCUCGUCCUCCCCCUCCGGGCUGCGGCUGCUCUGGGCGCCGCGGUUAACCGAGAGGACCACGGCGAGGGCGGCUCUGGGCGAGGUGACACGGGAAGUGCACACCAGGUAUGGCACACAACAUCCCGGCCCGGCACAGGGGAAGGCAACAGGAGCUGUUUCCUGGCGUGGGCCACCACCAGGUCCCGCUGGGCCACCACCUGGGCUGCUCUGACUGCGGCACCAGGGGAGAUGCUGCCUCCAGCUGCAGCCCCGUGUCUGAGCCCACCUGGGUAAGUCCCCACUGCCAGGGUGACCCCGAGCUGGCCUGGCCAAGGCUCCCCCAUCCUCACCCCCUGGGCCACGGCCACCUCCCGGCACCCAUCCAGCCCCGUCACACCAUCGCACCCUGUGCCCGUGCCAGGUGCCACGAGCUCCCACGGCGGGUGACCUUGUCCCAUGCGUGCCAGGCAGGGCUGGAAGGGAAGUCAACCCCUGGCUCUUAUCACAGUGAAGUCUGGGAAUAAGUUCAAGGACAAGGGAUAAAAAUAUUGCAACCAAACACAAACCGCACACCACACCCAGGCACCUUUCCCAUCUCCACAGCCCCUGCAGCGCUCCGUGACCACCUCCCAGCCUCGGCUGACUCCAGCUCCCCACGGCGCUCCUGUGACCGCCUCCUGGCGUGGCUGCAUCGUGGAACUGCCUUUCAUCACCUCCAGCACCCCUGAAAAGCGAUGAACAAUGACUUGGCAGAGCUUGCUGAUGCUGCUGGAGUUUCUGGGUGGUUGGGCUACAGUGCUGGCUCUGGUGGCACAGGGAGGGGUGGCAGAGGUGUGGACGAGCUUUCGUGUGAAACCAGUUACUCAGCUGGGAGAGCACCCGGGCUGGGGACGUGGGGAGGGCACAGGAGGAGGCUCCUCACCAUCCCCACCUCCCCUCCCUUCCCCAGUUCCCCCCUCGUGUGCUGGGGAGCGCACAGCAGAGCACACCUGCCCUGCUCUUUCCACACAGGGUGACAGCUGGGAAGCCCAAUGGAACACACCCGGAGGAGGGAAAUCUUUGACUGUUCCUUGGGGUCAAACCUUUUACGAAGAGAAAUGUGACAGAGCUGGUGUCAGGUGUGACCUCUGGAGCUGGGGAAAAGGUGCUGGAGACCCCAGGGCUCCGUUGCUGAGCCCUCUCUUUGUGCUUUUGGGACAAACCAGGACAAUUUGCACCCCCAGGAGAUCCCAGCAGCAGCAGCAGAAGCCAAAAAGGAAACUUCUGUCCCCUGUGACAGCCUGGCUGCUGCAUGGGGGGGACAGAGACGUGCCUCGGGGGCUGGGGUGUGCUGGAAGGGGAGCUGUAAGGGAGAACAUGGGCUCUCAGAGCCGAAUUAAUUCAGUAUUUUGA